AUGACGGAUGCUGCUGUGUCCUUCUCCAAGGACUUCUUGGUGGGUGGAGUGGCCGCGGCCAUCUCCAAGAUGGCGGUAGCGCCCAUCGAGCGGGUCAAGCUGCUGCUGCAGGUGCAGCAUGCCAGCAAGCAAAUCACCACAGAUAAGCAAUACAAGGGCAUUAUAGACUGUGUGGUUCGCAUCCCCAAGGAGCAGGGAGUCCUGUCCUUCUGGCGUGGUAACCCGGACAAUGUCAUCAGAUACUUCCCCACCCAGGCUCUCAACUUCGCCUUCAAAGAUAAAUACAAGCAGAUCUUCCUGGGUGGUGUGGACAAGAGAACCCAGUUUUGGCGCUACUUUGCUGGGAAUCUGGCAUCAGGUGGUGCUGCUGGGGCCACGUCCUUGUGUUUUGUGUAUCCUCUUUAUUUUGCCCAUACCUGGCUAGCAGCCAAUGUGGGCAAAGCUGGAGCUGAAAGGGAAUUCAGAGUCCUCGGUGACUGCCUGGUUAAGAUCUACAAAUCUGAUGGGAUUAAGGGCUUGUACCAAGGCUUUAAUGUGUCUGUGCAGGGCAUCAUCAUCUACUGAGCUGCCUACUUUGGUAUCUAUGACACCACAAAGGGGAUGCUUCCAGAUCCCAAGAAUACUCACAUCUUCAUCAGCUGGAUGAUCACCCAAUCCGUCACAGGGGUUGCCGGGUUGACGUCCUACCCGUUUGACACUGUUCGCUCCUGAAUGAUGAUGCGGUCAGGGCGCAAAGGAACUGAUAUCACGUGCACAGGCACAGUAGACUGCUGGAAGAAGGUCGCUCGUGAUGAAGGAGCCAAAGCGUUUUUCAAGGGGGCGUGAUCCAAUGUUCUCAGAGGCAUGGGUGGUGCUUUUGUGCUGGUCUUGUAUGAUGAAAUCAAGAAGUUCACAUAAGUUAUUUCCUAGUCUUUCCCCCCUGCCCCCGUGAACAGGCAUGUUGUAUUAUAUAACAUAUCUUGAGCAUUCUUGACAGACUGUUGGCUGUCUAUUUAUCAAUGGUAACUAUUCCACUGGUUGAAAACGGGAAGCAAUAAUAUUCAUAUGACCAGUUUUCUCUUAAAGCCAUUUCCAUGAUGAUGGGACUCAAUUAUAUUUUUUUAUUUCAGUCACUCCUGCUAAAUUUGAAGAAAUAAAAAAUAUCUGAA
RNA transcript from Odobenus rosmarus divergens (Pacific walrus), 1148 nucleotides. It is a transcript of the gene named ADP/ATP translocase 2-like, with no coding region annotated. The record is from RefSeq and is a predicted model, not a curated record. The transcript has a single exon. NCBI's taxonomy places the organism in Eukaryota, Metazoa, Chordata, Mammalia, Carnivora, Odobenidae.